CCUACGGGUGGCAGCAGUGGGGAAUAUUGGGCAAUGGAGGAAACUCUGACCCAGCAACGUCGCGUGAAGGAUUAAGGCUCUCGGAUUGUAAACUCCUGUUGCGCGGGAUGAAGAAUGACGGUACCUCGUGAGGAAGCCCCGGCAAACUACGUGCCAGCAGCCGGGGCAAUACGUGGGGGGCAAGCGUUGUCCGGAAUGACUGGGCGUAAAGGGGGUGUAGGCGGCCUUUUAAGUUAUUUGUGAAAGCCCCCGGCUUAACCGAGGAACUGCAUAUAAAACUGGGGGGCUGGAGUGCAGGAGAGGUAAGCGGAAUGUCUAGUGUAGCGGUGGAAUGCGUAGAUAUUAGGAAGAACACCGGAGGCGAAGGCGGCUUACUGGACUGUAACUGACGCUGAGGCUCGAAAGCGUGGGGAGCGAACAGGAUUAGAUACCCCAGUAGUC
RNAcentral lists this ribosomal RNA (441 nucleotides) under uncultured bacterium. RNAcentral's name for it is "partial 16S ribosomal RNA". It matches the Rfam family "Bacterial small subunit ribosomal RNA", at positions 338 to 795 of the family's 1533-position model. The record is from RNAcentral.